GGCCGAAAGGCGUAGUCGAUGGGAAACAGGUUAAUAUUCCUGUACUUGGUGUUACUGCGAAGGGGGGACGGAGAAGGCUAUGUUGGCCGGGCGACGGUUGUCCCGGUUUAAGCGUGUAGGCUGGUUUUCCAGGCAAAUCCGGAAAAUCAAGGCUGAGGCGUGAUGACGAGGCACUACGGUGCUGAAGCAACAAAUGCCCUGCUUCCAGGAAAAGCCUCUAAGCAUCAGGUAACAUCAAAUCGUACCCCAAACCGACACAGGUGGUCAGGUAGAGAAUACCAAGGCGCUUGAGAG
This 294-nucleotide ribosomal RNA is filed under the name Escherichia coli. RNAcentral describes it as "partial 23S ribosomal RNA". It matches the Rfam family "Bacterial large subunit ribosomal RNA", at positions 1400 to 1696 of the family's 2925-position model. The record is from RNAcentral. Lineage: Bacteria; Pseudomonadati; Pseudomonadota; Gammaproteobacteria; Enterobacterales; Enterobacteriaceae.